RNAcentral lists this long non-coding RNA (1381 nucleotides) under Nicotiana tabacum (common tobacco). Its description in RNAcentral is "long non-coding RNA (NTAB_LNC007216)". The record is from RNAcentral. Lineage: Eukaryota; Viridiplantae; Streptophyta; Magnoliopsida; Solanales; Solanaceae.
AUCCAAACAUUCAAAGAUGCACAGAUCAAUGUUGUUGAAUCAAAACUUUCUGCCGGGAAUGGAACUGUAUUUCACACAUUUGUACUCAAGUCUAGUGGAUCUGAACAGCUGACAAAGGAAAAGUUGCUGGCUGCAUUUUCCAGCGAAUCAGACUCGCUGAGGCAAUUUUCACCGGUAGGGCAAUAACAGUUUUAUGUUUUAUGUAGUUGCUAGGCAUAAAGUGUAGUGAAGAAUCAUAUCGUAGUUUCUGCAGAGUUUUUCGUAUACAUCAGUUCAAGAUAGGUGGAAAUAACUAGCUAUUGACAAAGUAGCAGCAAAUUUUCUGUGUUUGUCUAUAGUAUACAUGUUUUAUCAUGAGGCAAGAUGGAUCAAUUGCAAGCUUAACUAUCUUUUGCAUACCGUUAUUUUGUAUUAUUCAUUGUUAUUAAUUCUUCAGGAGCUUCUGUAGAUGCAUUUAUGUCAUCUUAGAUCCAAGAUGUGCAUCUUACCAUGGAGCUAUCCAAGAAUGCACAAAAGGAAGUAUGGUAGAAACUAACAAGUUAAUCUACUUUUUAUGUGAUCUAUGUUUUUCCCUCUUUCUUUAGAAUGCCAGGUUAGGGUUGCGGGGUUGCUUGAUCUUAGUUUUUGGCGAUAUUGGAGAUUGAUAUAGUCAAUAAUUCUGAUUAGUUUGGGAUUGACGUGUCGUUUAUUGAUAAAUUGAUUUUUGUUUGUUCCGAUUGAGUCUUAUAGCAUGUUUGGCCAAGCUUCUUUUGAGGCAAAAGUAUUUUUUUUUGUGGUCAGAAGUGUUUUUUUCUAAAAUUAAAGUGUUUGGCCAAACUUUUGAAAGGGAAAAAAGUGCUUUUGAUGAAAAGUAGAAUCAGAAAAAAGUAGCUUCUCUCCUGAAACACUUUUUGAAAAGCAAUUUUGAGAAAAUAGAGGCACUUUUUAAUAGCUUUGCCAAAUACUAAUUGCUACUCAAAAGUAUUUUUCAAAUUAAAUAGCCAAACAUAAACUGGUUCUCGCCAAAAGUAUUUUUUUUGAAAAGCACUUUUGAAAAAAACACUUCUCAAAAUAAGCUGAUUUUAGAAGGUUGGCGAAAUAGGCUAGUACUAUGUUGUAAACUUACCUUGUGCCCGGUCCAUGAGAAAUGCAUGGAAAUGAUUAACUUUGUAAUUUCAGUCAGAAAUUUGCUGCUUGAAUUGUAUUUGGAAAAUAUUGUUCCUUGUGUUUCUUGUUAUAAAGGCAUAGUAGCAGUCGAAAGAAUUGUCUCCUUCAGUUCCUGUCCUGUUAUAAGUGUAACAGAUACUAAUAAACUGGCCCUGUGUUUUAUUUGGUGUAGUUGUAAUUUAUUGAACAUGACAAAAACAUGUGAAGGAAAGUGUGGUAGUCGUGGCAAAGUGGG